GAUGAAUUGGCUCCAGGAAACAGCACCACAAAGUUAGCAGCGUGAAGUGGAUGAUGAUGUGGUGUCAUUCUCAGAAAGUCUUCUGCUGUUGGUAUCUCGUGAUGCAUCUUGACAGUGUGAUGGCAUCCCACAGCUCUCUGUGCAUCUUCAGUAAUGGCCCCAAGCUGACACCGCUCUGUGGGAGUCUAAUACUUCUGAACAAAAGUUUUUUUGGAGUGAGAUAGACAAGGUAGAAAUCCCAAGGUGACUGGAAGGAAUGUCUAAUGACUGGAAAGACAUAUUUACUGGCAGACUGUAUGUAAGCUGUGACAGUUGACAGGGCUUGAUUGUAAUAAAUAUAGUUGAUGAAGAGAAGGGUGACAGGUGAGGACAGAGAGAGAGAAAGAGUCAAAAGAUCUGCAUUGGCUGAACCCUAUUAACGGUAAGUUGGUAACAAAGCCCAGAGUCAUAAAAGAAAGCAGUUAUCGCAAACUGAUGUCUAAACAUUGAAAUGUGUGGGACCUGCAGGUUGCUGUCACAAGCUCAGAUUUGUUGACCUUUCUUCUAGCUAUUUUGUCGGUGGUGUUUCUAGUUGUAUCUCACACCAGCAGCAGGCAGCAGCCGACGUUUUUAAAUAUCAUGUAUGAUUAAUCGCGUAACAAAACAAACUCUGAUCAAGGUCAUAAUUAUUGCUUCAAACUAUGACUUCUAUUGCUUUGAUCAGGGAAUUUGGUGUUGGAAAAUGUGCCUCCGAGUGCUGUGAAGGAAGUAAUCUUCGUGGUGGCCUGUUCUGCUGAAAACAAAAUGAAUCCCUGUAAAGCAAAUUAAGCAACAAAAAAUCUGAAAAUAUUUAAAUGCAAAGGCUCACUGCACACACACAUACACACACACACAGAUGGAGUGAUUGACCCUGAAAAUGGAAACAACUCUGGCAUAUUAAAUUGUGACACUUUAUAACUGACUGGUCAGAGUUUCAACAAUAGGAUUUCCAAUGAGCUCUGCACUUUCUUCCCCCAGGCAAAUGUCACACACUGAAACUAAACAGGAUCUUUUUUUUUUUCUUGUUCAUCCGACUUGCUGUUUUCUGUGCCCGAGAUACGAAUCUGUAUUUGAAAAUGCCUUAACCCUUUGGAAGGACAACCCUUCCUCUCUGUGCCCCAGGAGGGAGUUUUGCAGCAGAUGUGGGGGACGUCGUGUUGGCGUUGGCACUGAGGUCAUUCUGCAUGCUCAACGCACUCCCAUUGCAAAAGCAGUGAGCCUUUGA
This 1243-nucleotide long non-coding RNA is filed under the name Coturnix japonica (Japanese quail). Its description in RNAcentral is "lncRNA (ENSCJPG00005020052.1)". The record is from RNAcentral. Lineage: Eukaryota; Metazoa; Chordata; Aves; Galliformes; Phasianidae.